AUGGACGUUAAGACGGCUUUCCUCAAUGGAGAGUUGAAGGAGGAAAUUUACAUGGAUCAGCCAGAUGGUUUUGUAGUACCUGGUCAAGAAGGAAAGGUGUGCAAGUUAUUAAAGUCUUUAUAUGGCCUUAAGCAAGCUCAUAAGGAGUGGCAUGAGAAGUUCGAAAGAACAUUAACUGCUGACGGCUUUGUAGUAAAUGAUGGUGACAAGUGUGUGUACUAUCGCCAUGGUGGGGGCGAAGGAAUUAUUCUUUGUCUGUAUGUCGACGACAUAUUGAUCUUUGGAACCAAACUUGAUUUAAUCAAGGAGGUUAAGGAUUUCUUAUCUCGCUGUUUUGAGAUGAAGGAUCUAGGAGUAGCUGAUGUUAUCUUAAACAUCAAGCUGUUGAGAGAUGAGAAUGGUGGGAUCACACUGCUUCAGUCUCACUAUGUGGAAAAGGUUUUGAGUCGUUUUGGGUAUAGCGACUGCACGCCUUCUCCAACUCCAUAUGAUGCUACGAGUGCCACGAGGCCUGACAUCUCUUUUGUUGUGAGCAAGCUGAGUCGGUUUGUGUCAAAACCGGGAGAUGAUCAUUGGCGUGCGCUUGAGAGAGUUAUGCGCUACUUGAAGGGCACUACGAGCUAUGGGAUUCACUACACCGGGUAUCCAAGGGUACUGGAGGGUUAUAGUGACUCGAACUGGAUAUCUGAUGCUGAUGAGAUUAAGGCCACAAGUGGUUAUGUUUUUACACUUGGUGGUGACACUGCCACUGUUGAAGCAGAGUGGCUUCGUGAGCUAUUGAUGGACUUACCUAUGGUUGAAAAACCAAUACCCCCUAUCCUGAUGAACUGUGAUAAUCAAACUGUGAUCGUCAAAAUAAACAGUUCUAAGGACAAUAUGAAGUCCUCAAGGCAUGUGAAGAGGAGAUUAAAAUCUGUCAGGAAACUGAGAAACUCCGGAGUUAUUACGUUGGAUUAUAUCCAAACAUCGAAAAACUUGUCAGAUCCCUUCACAAAGGGUCUAUCACGUAAUGUGAUAGAUAAUGCAUCGAUGGAGAUGGGUUUGAGACCCACC
RNAcentral lists this ribosomal RNA (1053 nucleotides) under Triticum aestivum (bread wheat). RNAcentral's name for it is "partial small subunit ribosomal RNA". The record is from RNAcentral. Lineage: Eukaryota; Viridiplantae; Streptophyta; Magnoliopsida; Poales; Poaceae.